GCUACGCAGUGGCCUGCGGCCGGGGUAAGACGGGGGUGGCAAGCGUGGGCCGGAAUCACUGGGCGUAAAGCGCGCGCAGGCGGUUUCUAACGUCCGGGGUGAAAGCCCAGAGCUCAACUCUGGGACUGCCUUGGAUACGGGGAAACUUGAGGAUCGGAGAGGCAAGGGGAAUUCCACGUGUAGCGGUGAAAUGCGUAGAGAUGUGGAGGAACACCUGUGGCGAAGGCGCCUUGCUGGCCGAUUUCUGACGCUGAGGCGCGAAAGCGUGGGGAGCAAACAGGAUUAGAUACCCCUGUAGUC
Molecule: ribosomal RNA, 300 nt
Filed under: uncultured Lactobacillus sp.
Lineage: Bacteria; Bacillati; Bacillota; Bacilli; Lactobacillales; Lactobacillaceae
Description: bacterial SSU rRNA
Rfam family: Bacterial small subunit ribosomal RNA
Source: RNAcentral